Molecule: long non-coding RNA, 443 nt
Filed under: Phoenix dactylifera (date palm)
Lineage: Eukaryota; Viridiplantae; Streptophyta; Magnoliopsida; Arecales; Arecaceae
Description: long non-coding RNA (PDAC_LNC004832)
Source: RNAcentral
UUAUCAGCAACUUAUGGAAGCACAUACUAUGGUGGGUUGGGACAAGGUGUGCUAUUCAAUUGGACCAAGUUCAUGGUACGCACAGUGAAGCUGAAAGGUACCCCUUGUUAGUUGGUCUAGCCACAGUGAAGCUGAAACAAUUGGUUGAUGUUCCAGGGUACCUAACCGUUUGAUGAAACAAUUUUAAGUAGGCCCACAGAAAGGAACCCUUUAACAAAUAGCUUACUGUGGAAAGUAGGAGAACAGAUUUUUCUUCCCUCUAAUCUAGUGUGAACACGAAAAGUCUAGAGCAUCUAACUCCGCAUUCCUUCAUCUUGCUUGGUAAUUGGUAUUCCCUCUCCAUGGCACGCAUGCAAGUUUUUAUGACGUAGGGGUGGCAAACAGGCUAGGUCAGACAAGAUACAGGUCGAAUCGGAUAUAGGAUAUAUCCAAAAUUCGUCAAC